RNA transcript from Spinacia oleracea (spinach), 4475 nucleotides. It is a transcript of the gene named villin-1, with no coding region annotated. NCBI's taxonomy places the organism in Eukaryota, Viridiplantae, Streptophyta, Magnoliopsida, Caryophyllales, Amaranthaceae. The transcript is spliced from 6 exons. The record is from RefSeq and is a predicted model, not a curated record.
CGUCUCUCUCCUCUCAUUCUUACCCUUUGUCUGGUUUCAUUCACCCUCAUUAUUCUCUCUCCUGAAAUCCUCCCCAUUUCCUCCAUCCAUAACAAAUUGAUUUCAUGCAUGGAUUCAAUCAAUGUCUCUUCAUUUGAAUGGAAUGAUUAAUAUUCUGGUCUAGAGGGAAAGCUUUAGUUCCUACUAAUUUGAAUAUGGAUGUUCCUCGAUCAAGGCCCUAUGCUCGAGUUGCGAUCGGUACUAGCAUGAAAACACUCCAUUGAUGUGGGAACAGGAGUGAUAGAUGCAUAGACGACCAGUUGAGGUUAUUCUGUUUAAUCACUUUGAUCGUAUUGCUGAGUUGAUAAUUGAGAAGAUCAUAACUACAUAUCUUUUCGCGGUCAAAGAUGGGCUCGAAGGGAAUUCACUACACUGUAUGACUAGGAAAAAAUAACUUGGCACCAAUUUUGUUAUGAUCUUAAUGGAAAUCUCAUGAUAAAUUAUGUAUAGUUAUUUUGACAUAAGUCACAAGGGGGCAAGGUGGGGUGAGGAGAAAGAGAUCUUGGAGUGCAGUAUGCCUAUUCAUCUCCAGGUAGGAGGUUAGGUAUGAAACCCAUGGGUUUGGGAUGAGGUCAUACCUUAAUUCAUGUGCUUGGUUGCUUAUAAAUAAAACUUAAUUUUAUUAUUUUGACAGGAAAAUUAUUAUUUUUCUUUUAAAGAGAAUUAUUUAUACUCUGUCUAAACCUAUACCAUACCCAUACCCAGUGAACCAAACGCUUAAUGCGUUGAAGGAAUAAGCCAUAUUGUCAUAUUUCUACUUUAACAUGACCAGGUGAUCAUAGAGAAAAUUUCACAGUGGAGGCCACAAUAAAACUGUUUUCUAUAGUAUAAUUCACUACCUUAUAUACUUAGGCUAUUUCUGAACUCUUGUUUUCUGUUUUUUUAUUUCCUUGACCCGUGUUUUAGUGGUUUCGAGAUAUGGUGUGUUGAGAAUCUCAGCUUGGUUCCAGUACCGAAGUCAUCUCAUGGGAAACUUCUUUUAUAUUUGAUUUUAAAUACAAUAUUGCUGAAAGAUGGAAUGCUUGAACAUGAUGUACAUUAUUGGCUUGGAAAGGAUGCAAAUGAGGUGGAGUCGCUAAUGGUCUCAGAUAAAGCGCUUGAAUUAGAUUUGGCCUUAGGAUCUUGCACUAUGCAAUACCGGGAAAAACAAGGUCAAGAGUCAGCAAAGUUUUUGUCAUACUUUAAACCUUGUGUUAUUCCAUGUGAAGGAGUAUAUACAUCAGGACUAGAGAGGUCAAAUAGAGGCACAUACCAUAUUACCUUGUUAGCAUGAAAUGGCGAACAUGCCAUUUUGGUUAAGGAGGUAAGACUUCCUGAGCUAUUAACACUUAAUUGACAAUAAAGUGGCUGACUGAAGAUACAUGUUGUUUGACAUGAGACCUGGUGGUGGUGGGGGGGGGGGGGGGGGUACCUCAUGAGGACACACUUUGAGGGGGUGUUUGGUUCGCGGUUUCUAAUGGUCUAAACCCAUGUCAUGUGUUUGGUUGGAAAUUUUAAGAGUUUUAAACCAUACCUCAAACCCCAAGGUAUGGGGUUUAGAAAUCUAGGGGGGUGGGUGGGUAUGGCUCAUACCUUUACUCAAAGGUAUCAAACAAAAGGAAAAAACACAUCCCCAAAUCGGAACAAACACAUGGUAUUAAGAAUCAAGUUCCAAACCCAUACCACCUUGAUAUCAUUCUUGAUUCCAACCUCAUACCAGUUUGCGAACCAAACGCCCCAUAUUCGGGAAAUGUUUGAUGUGAUGGACAAAGUCCUAAACAAACACUACCAGGUAAGGAUUACUGUAUCUUUUGUGAUAUGUGAGAUGUUGCAUUCCACCAGUUACAUCAGGGGUUGUUCAUCAUCUGAAACUGGUAAUACAUGUAGGUAAUGCAAGUACAACUAGCACGCACCUUAAAAUUUUAAGCUAUUUAUUGUUUGUCCUGUGAUGCUGGAAUCAAUCAUUCUAACCAGUAGUGACAACCAAGAUAUUUUGCAAUAUAAGGUUUACUAUAAUUUUUUAAACCUUUCCAAUUUGUUAAUUUGAAAACAUAAUUGAUGUUUUCUUUUGUUAUUAGCCCAUAAAUGAUUUCUAUCUUUCUAUGAAGUUUCUAAUCUAAUAUAUAUGUCUGAUGCUGAUCCAAAUGUUGUUUGGGGUUGAAACCCUUACAUACGAAUUAGUUGCUAUUAUAUGUUUUCAAGUCUGUAUUUUCGUAAUUCAUUUUUCCAGGACUUAUAUGGAAAGUAAUGAAAUAUUUAUAAACUAACUUUUUUUUAUUGAUGUUGAAUUGUUGAUACUUGAUAAUGAUUAAAAAGGUUCAGCGUAGAGGAUAUUUACAUGUUUCAAUUUCUUUGAAGAAUAAUUUGCCUACUAUGUAGGCUUUGUUUGUAUUACGGAAAACACUUUGAUGAUUAUAGGUACUUCUGCAUUUCAUUUCUUUGUACAAACAAAUACCAAGGAAAUACAUUUCUAUUUGUCUUCAUUUUCUUUUGCCACAUUGAUGGUAUAUUAUAGAUGCUUCUUAGGCAAAAUAAUUCUUUUUCAUGAAGAUCGUUAAUUUAGGGCCUGGGAGUCAAGGUGGACCUUCGUUAUUGUUUUUCCCUUCAGGUAUGACUAUGUAUUAUGUUGUGAACAUUUAUCCUAAUAGUUGCCAUUGAACAACUUAGUAUUAAAAAAAAAUUUACUUUGGACUUUGGAGAGUUAUACCUGAAACUAUGCACAUAUGAAUCACUGGCUUAUUUUGUUUGUGUGGCUCUAUCACUCUACAUUGAUGUCAUUGAGGUUAUUAGAGGUGGGUUAGUCUGCCAAUUGUGCAAACCUAAAGUACAUGCAAAAUUUACCGUUUCUAUUUCUACUCGUGGAGUCAUUAUGUUUAUAGAACAUGUGUUUAUCACCAUUUAGUGAUUGAAUUGGGACUUGGGACUUGAUAGAGGAUCAUUGGUUUAUGGUACUUUUUUCGGACUACCUCCCUUUUAGGCAAUAGAAUCUCAAGAAUUAAGAGUGAAGUUCCGAACGCUAAUAUAGAUAUUUGGACACUACUAUAGAGACUAAGGAAUGAAGCUUUAAGUGUAAAGAUAGGGGUUGUGGAAAAAGGACCAGUGAAGAACUCCAUCUUGAGGUAAACGUCUUGGUAGACAGACCACAUCAAUAUGCAUAUAAAAGGGAUUAUCAAAGAUCAAAUUGCAUUACAGAGUUUGCUAGAUGCAUACAUCACAUGGAUAGUGCAAAAGAAAAUAUAAUAAGCAUAACAAUGUUACUUGCAAAUGCUCUUAUUUGUGAGUUGUAUGAUUUAAGAAACCUUCAUAAAUAUGAAAUAAAAUUCAUACUUAUUGCUUCAUGUUUUUUGGGCCUCUAUUUGAAUCUAGGAUUAUGAAAUUGACUUUCAUGAUGAACGUCAUCUCUUCAAGGCGUUUUGGUGUCGGCAUGGAAGUAAAUCAUGUCAAUCUAACGCUCAAAAGUGAAUACUUAUGUCUCUGUAAUAUCUGCCAAUGUCAACUUGAUUCCAUUAAUAAAUGGGACCAACUAUAAGGAUUGGAAGGAAAAUGUAAGCAUUGUCCUUGGCUGCAUGGAUCUUGACCUUGCAUUAAGAACGGAUAAAUCUGUUGCUCUUACGGCUGCAAGUACCGCUGAUCAAAAGCGUGACUUUGAGAAGUGGGACCGUUCUAAUCGUAUGUGUCUAAUGAUCAUGAAGCGGGGAAUUCCAGAAUCAUUUAAGGGUCAUCUGUCUGAUGAGGUCACUACCAAAGAGUUACUUGAACAAAUUGAGAAGCGUUUUCUUAAAAACGAUAAGGCGGAAAUAAGUACAACCUUGUUGAACUUAAUUUCCGUAAAGUAUAAAGGUCAAGGGAACAUAAGGGAGUACAUUAUGGAAAUGUCUCAUCUUGCUUCAAAAUUAAAGGCACUAAAGUUAGAGUUGUCAAAUGACUUGCUCGUGCAUAUAAUUUUGAUCUCUCUUCCUACACAGUUUAAUCAGUUCAAGAUAAGUUAUAACUGUCAAAAGGAGAAAUGCUAUCUUAAUGAGCUCAUGUGCAAGAAUAGGAAAGGCUUAAGCAAGAGAAGACUGAAAGUGCUAAUUUGGCCAGUGCCUUUAAAGGCAAACAAAAAGAAAGGAAAAUGGAUAAGGAAGUUGCAAGCGCUCCAGCUCAAAAGAAACACCAACAAAAUAAAUCUGAAGGUGUUGGUUGUUACUUUUGUCAGACUCCUGGACACCUAAAGAAGGAUUGUACCAAAUAUCACGCUUGCCGUGCAAAGAAAGGGUUGCCUAAGCUGCCAAAAGCCAAGUGAUGAUGAAAGAUUCAUUUAUCUGGGCGAUGGAAAAUCAGUUGAGGUUGAAGCAAUAGGGACGUUUAGGUUGUUGUUAAGAACUUGUUUUUAUUUGGAUUUGAAAGAGACUUUCUUUGUACCGUCUUUUAGACGGAAUUUGGUUUUUAUUUAUAUAUUGGACAAAUUCGGAUAA